GGGGCUGUAGCUCAGUGGUACAGCUUCUGCUUUGCAUGCUGAACGUCUCAGAUUCAAUCCCCUACAUCUCUA
This is a non-coding RNA of Podarcis lilfordi (Lilford's wall lizard), 72 nucleotides long. The record is from the annotation of a GenBank genome assembly. NCBI's taxonomy places the organism in Eukaryota, Metazoa, Chordata, Lepidosauria, Squamata, Lacertidae.